This 679-nucleotide ribosomal RNA is filed under the name Micrococcus sp. RNAcentral describes it as "bacterial SSU rRNA". It matches the Rfam family "Bacterial small subunit ribosomal RNA", at positions 69 to 762 of the family's 1533-position model. Lineage: Bacteria; Bacillati; Actinomycetota; Actinomycetes; Micrococcales; Micrococcaceae. The record is from RNAcentral.
AAAGACCCAGCUUGCUGGGUGGAUUAGUGGCGAACGGGUGAGUAACACGUGAGUAACCUGCCCUUAACUCUGGGAUAAGCCUGGGAAACUGGGUCUAAUACCGGAUAGGAGCGUCCACCGCAUGGUGGGUGUUGGAAAGAUUUAUCGGUUUUGGAUGGACUCGCGGCCUAUCAGCUUGUUGGUGAGGUAAUGGCUCACCAAGGCGACGACGGGUAGCCGGCCUGAGAGGGUGACCGGCCACACUGGGACUGAGACACGGCCCAGACUCCUACGGGAGGCAGCAGUGGGGAAUAUUGCACAAUGGGCGCAAGCCUGAUGCAGCGACGCCGCGUGAGGGAUGACGGCCUUCGGGUUGUAAACCUCUUUCAGUAGGGAAGAAGCGAAAGUGACGGUACCUGCAGAAGAAGCACCGGCUAACUACGUGCCAGCAGCCGCGGUAAUACGUAGGGUGCGAGCGUUAUCCGGAAUUAUUGGGCGUAAAGAGCUCGUAGGCGGUUUGUCGCGUCUGUCGUGAAAGUCCGGGGCUUAACCCCGGAUCUGCGGUGGGUACGGGCAGACUAGAGUGCAGUAGGGGAGACUGGAAUUCCUGGUGUAGCGGUGGAAUGCGCAGAUAUCAGGAGGAACACCGAUGGCGAAGGCAGGUCUCUGGGCUGUAACUGACGCUGAGGAGCGAAAGCAU